AGUGAACGCUGGCGGUAUGCCUAACACAUGCAAGUCGAACGGCAGCACAGUAAGAGCUUGCUCUUACGGGUGGCGAGUGGCGGACGGGUGAGGAAUACAUCGGAAUCUACUUUUUCGUGGGGGAUAACGUAGGGAAACUUACGCUAAUACCGCAUACGACCUACGGGUGAAAGCAGGGGAUCUUCGGACCUUGCGCGAUUGAAUGAGCCGAUGUCGGAUUAGCUAGUUGGCGGGGUAAAGGCCCACCAAGGCGACGAUCCGUAGCUGGUCUGAGAGGAUGAUCAGCCACACUGGAACUGAGACACGGUCCAGACUCCUACGGGAGGAAGCAGUGGGGAAUAUUGGACAAUGGACGCAAGCCUGAUCCAGCCAUACCGCGUGGGUGAAGAAGGCCUUCGGGUUGUAAAGCCCUUUUGUUGGGAAAGAAAAGCAGCAGGUUAAUACCCCGCUGUUCUGACGGUACCCAAAGAAUAAGCACCGGCUAACUUCGUG
RNAcentral lists this ribosomal RNA (492 nucleotides) under uncultured bacterium. RNAcentral describes it as "partial 16S ribosomal RNA". It matches the Rfam family "Bacterial small subunit ribosomal RNA", at positions 29 to 507 of the family's 1533-position model. The record is from RNAcentral.